CCUACGGGAGGCUGCAGUUUUUAAUCUUUUCCCCUCGCCGCAACCCUGAUCCAGCCAUGCCGCGUGUGUGAAGAAGGCCCUCGGGUUGUAAAGCACUUUCAGUGAGGAAGAACGCCUGGUGGUUAAUACCCAUCAGGAAAGACAUCACUCACAGAAGAAGCACCGGCUAACUCCGUGCCAGCAGCCGCGGUAAUACGGAGGGUGCGAGCGUUAAUCGGAAUUACUGGGCGUAAAGCGCGCGUAGGUGGCUUGAUAAGCCGGUUGUGAAAGCCCCGGGCUCAACCUGGGAACGGCAUCCGGAACUGUCAAGCUAGAGUGCAGGAGAGGAAGGUAGAAUUCCCGGUGUAGCGGUGAAAUGCGUAGAGAUCGGGAGGAAUACCAGUGGCGAAGGCGGCCUUCUGGACUGACACUGACACUGAGGUGCGAAAGCGUGGGUAGCAAACAGGAUUAGAUACCCCAGUAGUC
RNAcentral lists this ribosomal RNA (465 nucleotides) under Vreelandella stevensii. RNAcentral's name for it is "partial 16S ribosomal RNA". It matches the Rfam family "Bacterial small subunit ribosomal RNA", at positions 338 to 795 of the family's 1533-position model. Lineage: Bacteria; Pseudomonadati; Pseudomonadota; Gammaproteobacteria; Oceanospirillales; Halomonadaceae. The record is from RNAcentral.